This 595-nucleotide ribosomal RNA is filed under the name Colletogloeum sp. FG2.1. RNAcentral describes it as "eukaryotic LSU rRNA". It matches the Rfam family "Eukaryotic large subunit ribosomal RNA", at positions 41 to 664 of the family's 3401-position model. RNAcentral also lists the same sequence under 1 other name. Lineage: Eukaryota; Fungi; Ascomycota; Dothideomycetes; Mycosphaerellales; Mycosphaerellaceae. The record is from RNAcentral.
UAUCAAUAAGCGGAGGAAAAGAAACCAACAGGGAUUGCCCUAGUAACGGCGAGUGAAGCGGCAACAGCUCAAAUUUGAAAUCUGGCGCAAGCCCGAGUUGUAAUUUGUAGAGGAUGCUUCUGGGCAGCGGCCGUUCUAAGUUCCUUGGAACAGGACGUCAUAGAGGGUGAGAAUCCCGUAUGUGACCGGCGCGCACCCUCCACGUAGCUCCUUCGACGAGUCGAGUUGUUUGGGAAUGCAGCUCUAAAUGGGAGGUAAAUUUCUUCUAAAGCUAAAUACCGGCCAGAGACCGAUAGCGCACAAGUAGAGUGAUCGAAAGAUGAAAAGCACUUUGGAAAGAGAGUUAAAAAGCACGUGAAAUUGUUGAAAGGGAAGCGCUUGCAACCAGACUUCGCGGUGGUGUUCCGCCGGUCUUUUGACCGGUCUACUCGCCGCCGCGAGGCCCACAUCGUCUGGGGCCGCCGGAUAAGACCGUAGGAAUGUGGCUCCCUCGGGAGUGUUAUAGCCUUCGGUGAUGCGGCGUGUCCCGGGCGAGGUCCGCGCUUCGGCAAGGAUGUGGGCGUAAUGGUUGCCAGCGGCCCGUCUUGAAACACGG